This 524-nucleotide ribosomal RNA is filed under the name Metschnikowia pulcherrima. RNAcentral describes it as "partial large subunit ribosomal RNA". It matches the Rfam family "Eukaryotic large subunit ribosomal RNA", at positions 46 to 657 of the family's 3401-position model. Lineage: Eukaryota; Fungi; Ascomycota; Pichiomycetes; Serinales; Metschnikowiaceae. The record is from RNAcentral.
AUAAGCGGAGGAAAAGAAACCAACAGGGAUUGCCUCAGUAACGGCGAGUGAAGCGGCAAAAGCUCAAAUUUGAAAUCCCCCGGGAAUUGUAAUUUGAAGAGAUUUGGGUCCGGCCGGCAGGGGUUAAGUCCACUGGAAAGUGGCGCCACAGAGGGUGACAGCCCCGUGAACCCCUUUAACGCCCUCAUCCCAGAUCUCCAAGAGUCGAGUUGUUUGGGAAUGCAGCUCUAAGUGGGUGGUAAAUUCCAUCUAAAGCUAAAUACCGGCGAGAGACCGAUAGCGAACAAGUACAGUGAUGGAAAGAUGAAAAGCACUUUGAAAAGAGAGUGAAAAAGUACGUGAAAUUGUUGAAAGGGAAGGGCUUGCAAGCAGACACUUAACUGGGCCAGCAUCGGGGCGGCGGGGAGCAAAACCACCGGGGAAUGUACCUUUCGAGGAUUAUAACCCCGGCCCUUACUCCCAUACCACCCCGAGGCCUGCAAUCUAAGGAUGCUGGCGUAAUGGUUGCAAGUCGCCCGUCUUGA